This is a non-coding RNA of Phascolarctos cinereus (koala), 345 nucleotides long. NCBI's taxonomy places the organism in Eukaryota, Metazoa, Chordata, Mammalia, Diprotodontia, Phascolarctidae. The record is from RefSeq and is a predicted model, not a curated record.
AGUACAGUGUAAGAAGACUGGAAAACUAGAGAGGAACCAGAUUGUGAAGGACUUUAAAUGCCAACAUGUGACUCCAAUUUGCCUUCCAUCACAUCUGCUGGUUCCACAAUCACAGCCUUCCAGUCUCACCACUAUAGAAACAUGCCGUGUGUGUUUCCUUUUCAAUUCUCCUCCCUAUUCAGAUCGGCCCUUCUCCUCCCCCAGUGCACAGCAACCCAAUAACAUCCAGCUUUAACCCAGUUUUGCAUCUUUAAUGAUUCACUAGUCACCACCUCAUCCCCUGGACCUCGUGAUACUCCUCACUUUCAUCAAACAGAUAAUAUUCUUGUGAAUAUCUCCUUUGUC